AUCGCUUCUCGGCCUUUUGGCUAAGAUCAAAGUGUAGUAUCUGUUCUUAUCAGCUUAAUAUCUGAUACGGGUCCUAUUUGGACCCAAGAUAUUAAACUUAUUUUUGGAAUGCGGCGAGUGCUUGAGGCUUGCCUCACCUCCGCCACGGGUUGGCCCGGUAUUGCACUGCCUCCGGGAUCGGCCCACUCACC
Molecule: small nuclear RNA, 191 nt
Filed under: Haemaphysalis longicornis (longhorned tick)
Lineage: Eukaryota; Metazoa; Arthropoda; Arachnida; Ixodida; Ixodidae
Description: U2 spliceosomal RNA
Rfam family: U2 spliceosomal RNA
About the family: U2 is a small nuclear RNA (snRNA) component of the spliceosome (involved in pre-mRNA splicing). Complementary binding between U2 snRNA (in an area lying towards the 5' end but 3' to hairpin I) and the branchpoint sequence (BPS) of the intron results the bulging out of an unpaired adenosine, on the BPS, which initiates a nucleophilic attack at the intronic 5' splice site, thus starting the first of two transesterification reactions that mediate splicing.
Source: Rfam by way of RNAcentral